RNAcentral lists this ribosomal RNA (360 nucleotides) under Triticum aestivum (bread wheat). Its description in RNAcentral is "partial small subunit ribosomal RNA". The record is from RNAcentral. Lineage: Eukaryota; Viridiplantae; Streptophyta; Magnoliopsida; Poales; Poaceae.
AUGGUUUUAUAUGAUGCUAUGGUUUGUAUGUACCUUGUUGCCAGAAGCCUUCUGAAUGAAUCCCUUCUCUUGCAGGGAUUUCACCGCUUCAUAGAGGUAUUCUUGCACAGGGGUGAACUUCAUGCCAAGGUCCUUCAGAGGCUGGUUGGUGUACUUGUAACCCUUCUUUGGCGGAUUUACCUCGUCCUUACAUCUGUACAGGCGAAGCAAAGCCAUCGCUUUCGUUUUACGAAAGUUACAGGUAACUACCAACAACUUGUGGUCUAUCAAGGGAACAAUUGCAAGCAAGAUUGUGUAAAAACAUUAGCACAUUCGUGGAAUGAUUCUAUCAACGGCACAAUUGCAAGCAAGAUUGUGUAA